CAGAGCUGAUGUCCUUACCUAUAAAACGGUCCUGAUGUGUCUUUGAAGAGGAUUCUGUACCUGCAGAUCUGUCCCUGAAAAAGCUCUGUGCCAGUGCUGAGUGGUGAAACCAAGAAUACGAAAACGGAUUUUCUUCUAAGGACGUUUAGAAGAAGUCUUUCCUGCAAAGGCCGCAAAGCAGAAUGCUAGUGCAAUCCUGAUCCUGUCUCAGCUGCACAACCGGAUGUCAGUGCUGUUUGGACUUAGCCAUCCUGACUCCAUAUUUUCUUGUUGGGGCCCCUGAUCCUGACUACCUAGCUGUCCAACUAACUCCUAACAAAGCAAGAGGGAAAGCCUACAGAGAAAUUCCAGGAAGAAUGCUUACUUCCCCGGGAAAAAGGCUGGCUUCCUUCCAUCAAAUCUCAGCUUCAUGUCCUUCAAGGAAAGAGAGGCCUGUCUUGACCAGAUCUACCAUCACUCUGUCACAGCAUCUUCAGUAUUUUUCUUCAUUACACAUCAUCACAAUUGAGAGAAACAUGGCAAGAGAGGGAACAAAA
Molecule: long non-coding RNA, 536 nt
Organism: Neogale vison (American mink)
Lineage: Eukaryota; Metazoa; Chordata; Mammalia; Carnivora; Mustelidae
Exons: 4
Source: RefSeq, a predicted model, not a curated record